UUUAAAUUGUAUUAAAAAUUUUAAUAAAAAUUAAUAAAUUUAAUUAUAGUUUUAAAGUUAAUUUUUAAAUUUUUUAUAUAUAUAAAUAUUAGAUAUUUAAUAUAAAAGUAAGUAGUAUAUAAAUUUAAUAAAGUUAAAAAUAUUUAAAUUUAGGAAUUUUUAUAAUUUGGAUAAAUAAUUGUGCCAGCAAUCGUGGUUAAACAAUUUAAAUAAAUUAAUUUAAUUAAAUUAAAAUUAAAUGAAUAUUUAUAAUAAAAAUUUAAAUUGUUAGGUGAAAUUAAUUAAUUUAUAAUUAUUAUAUAUUAGUAUAAGUUGAAUUUUUAAAAGAUUUUUGAAAAACUAGGAUUAGAUACCCUAUUAUAAAAUUUAAAGAAUAUAAUUUAAAUAUUAAAUGAUUAAUCAUUAAAUUUAAAUAAUUUGGCGGUAUUUUAAUUUUAUUAGAGGAAUUUGUUAAUUAAUUGAUAUUACCCGAUAAGAUAAACUUUAAUUAAAUUUUUAUAUUGUUGUUUAAAGAGUAUUUUUAUAAAAAUUAUUUAAAAUUUUUUUUUAGAAAAAAAUUCAGAUCAAAAUGAAGUAAAUGUUAAAGAGUUAAUGAGUUACAAUAAAUUUAAUUUAAAUGAAUUUAUAAUUUAAAUAUUAUAAUGAAGGUGGAUUUAAAAGUAAAAUAAAAUAAUUAUUUUAUUUGAUUUAAAUUUUAAAAUAUGUACAAAUUGCCCGUCGUUCUCUUUGAAAAAGGAGGUAAGUCGUAACAAAGUAAAAGUACUGGAAAGUGUUUUUAGAU
RNAcentral lists this non-coding RNA (781 nucleotides) under Chrysis longula aeneopaca. Lineage: Eukaryota; Metazoa; Arthropoda; Insecta; Hymenoptera; Chrysididae. The record is from RNAcentral.